AGGAGCUCGCCGUUGUGCAUGUAGGCGAGGAUGAUGUCGUUGGCAGGGUCCAGCGCCACCUCGAGAGGGAGGCUGGUGCCGUACUUGGAGCCGCCGCCGCCGGGGAGGUCCUCGUCGCCUUCGAAGCAGACGUUCAUCUUCGGCGGUGCGCCGCCGCCGGCGGCUUCGCCGGUGGGGGGCCGCCGCAUGGCGCCGCAGCGGCGGAGGAUGUCGCAGAGGCGGGCACCGCGCCACACACCGGUGGACACGCCGGCU
This 255-nucleotide long non-coding RNA is filed under the name Spirodela polyrhiza (greater duckweed). RNAcentral's name for it is "long non-coding RNA (SPOL_LNC000873)". Lineage: Eukaryota; Viridiplantae; Streptophyta; Magnoliopsida; Alismatales; Araceae. The record is from RNAcentral.